This 498-nucleotide ribosomal RNA is filed under the name uncultured bacterium. Its description in RNAcentral is "partial 16S ribosomal RNA". It matches the Rfam family "Bacterial small subunit ribosomal RNA", at positions 30 to 523 of the family's 1533-position model. The record is from RNAcentral.
AUUGAACGCUGGCGGCAUGCCUUACACAUGCAAGUCGAACGGUAACGGGCCUUCGGGUGCCGACGAGUGGCGAACGGGUGAGUAAUGUAUCGGAACGUACCAUUGAGUGGGGGAUAACGUAGCGAAAGUUACGCUAAUACCGCAUAUUCUCUCCGGAGGAAAGCAGGGGACCGCAAGGCCUUGCGCUCUUUGAGCGGCCGAUAUCAGAUUAGCUAGUUGGUGGGGUAAAAGCUCACCAAGGCGACGAUCUGUAGCGGGUCGGAGAGGAUGAUCCGCCACACUGGAACUGAGACACGGUCCAGACUCCUACGGGAGGCAGCAGUGGGGAAUUUUGGGCAAUGGGGGCAACCCUGAUCCAGCCAUGCCGCGUGAGUGAAGAAGGCCUUCGGGUUGUAAAGCUCUUUCAGCCGGGAGGAAAUCGCAUGGGCUAAUACCCCGUGCGGAUGACGGUACCGGAAUAAGAAGCACCGGCUAACUACGUGCCAGCCGCCGCCGUAA